RNAcentral lists this ribosomal RNA (405 nucleotides) under uncultured bacterium. RNAcentral describes it as "partial 16S ribosomal RNA". It matches the Rfam family "Bacterial small subunit ribosomal RNA", at positions 30 to 526 of the family's 1533-position model. The record is from RNAcentral.
AUUGAACGCUGGCGGCAGGCCUAACACAUGCAAGUCGAACGAGUGGCGUACGGGUGAGUAAUGUCUGGGACACUGCCUGAUGGAGGGGGAUAACUACUGGAAACGGUAGCUAAUACCGCAUACCAUCGGAUGUGCCCAGUUGGGAUUGCUAGUGGGGGGGGAAAAGGCUCACCAAGGCGGCGAUCCCUAGCUGGUCUGAGAGGAUGACCAGCCACACUGGAACUGAGACACGGUCCAGACUCCUACGGGAGGCAGCAGUGGGGAAUAUUGGACAAUGGGCGAAAGCCUGAUGCAGCCAUGCCGCGUGUAUGAAGAAGGUCUUCGGGUUGUAAAGUACUUUAAGCGGGGAGGCGUUACCAGCAGAAGAAGCAUCGGCUAACUCCGUGCCAGCAGCCGCGGUAAUUC